AUUGAACGCUGGCGGAAUGCUUUACACAUGCAAGUCGAACGGCAGCACGGACUUCGGUCUGGUGGCGAGUGGCGAACGGGUGAGUAAUGUAUCGGAACGUGCCCAGUCGUGGGGGAUAACGUAGUGAAAAUUACGCUAAUACCGCAUACGAUCUAUGGAUGAAAGCGGGGGAUCGCAAGACCUCGCGCGAUCGGAGCGGCCGAUACCAGAUUAGGUAGUUGGUGGGGUAAAGGCCCACCAAGCCAACGAUCUGUAGCUGGUCUGAGAGGACGACCAGCCACACUGGAACUGAGACACGGUCCAGACUCCUGCGGGAGGCAGCAGUGGGGAAUUUUGGACAAUGGGCGAAAGCCUGAUCCAGCCAUUCCGCGUGCAGGAUGAAGGCCCUCGGGUUGUAAACUGCUUUUGUACAGAACGAAAAGGUUUCUACUAAUACUAGGAGCUCAUGACGGUACUGUAAGAAUAAGCACCGGCUAACUACGUGCCAGCCGCCGCGGUAA
Molecule: ribosomal RNA, 500 nt
Filed under: uncultured bacterium
Lineage: Bacteria
Description: partial 16S ribosomal RNA
Rfam family: Bacterial small subunit ribosomal RNA
Source: RNAcentral